GAUGAACGCUGGCGGCGUGCCUAAUACAUGCAAGUCGAGCGAACAGACGAGGAGCUUGCUCCUCUGACGUUAGCGGCGGACGGGUGAGUAACACGUGGAUAACCUACCUAUAAGACUGGGAUAACUUCGGGAAACCGGAGCUAAUACCGGAUAAUAUAUUGAACCGCAUGGUUCAAUAGUGAAAGACGGUUUUGCUGUCACUUAUAGAUGGAUCGGCGCCGCAUUAGCUAGUUGGUACGGUAACGGCUUACCAAGGCAACGAUGCGUAGCCGACCUGAGAGGGUGAUCGGCCACACUGGAACUGAGACAGGGUCCAGACGCCUACGGGAGGCAGCAGUAGGGAAUCUUCCGCAAUGGGCGAAAGCCUGACGGAGCAACGCCGAGUGAGUGAUGAAGGUCUUCGGAUCGUAAAACUCUGCUAUUAGGGAAGAACAAAUGUGUAAGUAACUAUGCACGUCUUGACGGUACCUAAUCAGAAAGCCACGGCUAACUACGUG
This 497-nucleotide ribosomal RNA is filed under the name uncultured bacterium. RNAcentral's name for it is "partial 16S ribosomal RNA". It matches the Rfam family "Bacterial small subunit ribosomal RNA", at positions 28 to 507 of the family's 1533-position model. The record is from RNAcentral.